RNAcentral lists this long non-coding RNA (1151 nucleotides) under Callithrix jacchus (white-tufted-ear marmoset). RNAcentral's name for it is "lncRNA (ENSCJAG00000083570.1)". Lineage: Eukaryota; Metazoa; Chordata; Mammalia; Primates; Cebidae. The record is from RNAcentral.
CCCUGAUCUCCCAAAAUUUGGUCAAGAUCUAAAGUUUAUUUUGCUGUACAACUCCUUUUUGUUGUUGUUGUUGUUUUACUUGCUUCCAACAAGGAAGGCAUCAUUUCCUGUUUCCAUGACGAUGGAAUGCAGGUUACUCCUUCAUGGAGUUUUAGCUUGCUCCCAGCAGAGAAGAUGAGUUCAAGUUUUUUCCUGCUUCUAGGAUGGUAGAAAGCAGUCUUCAGGCCAGGCGCAGUAACUCAUACCUGUAAUCUCAGCACUUUGGGAGGCUGAGGUGGGCAGAUUACCUGAGGUCAGGAGUUCGAAACCAGCCUGGACAACAUGAUGAAACUCCAUCUCAUCUAAAAAUACAAAGAUUAGCCAAGUGUGGUGGCACGCGCAUGUAGUUCCAGCUACUUGGGAGGCUGAGGCAUGAGAAUCACUUGAACCUGGCAGGCUGAAGUUGCAGAGAGCCAAGAUCACACCACUACACUCCAGCCUGGGAAACAGAGCUAGCCUCUGUCUCAAAAGAGAAAAAAAAAAGAAAGCAAUCUUCAGCCUGAGACCCAUCCCUAGGUGUGUAACAUUUAUCCUUGGAAAGAGCUUGCUUUCAGGACAACCCUAAAUGGAGAGAAAGGAUGUAACUACCUUCAUUUUCCUUCCAGUUGAAAUGCCAAAAUUCCACAUUAAUGGGAUGAAGCCCUUAGCAGGAACUAAAUCAGCCAGCACCUUGAUCUUGGACUUCCCAGUCUCCAUAACUGUGAAUAUGUUUUUAGGCUAAGUGAUGGAACCAGUGGAGAAGAAAAAAUUGGAACUGUAGGAGAAGGAGGAAAACUGAUGAAACAAGAACCUGAAGUAAAGAACUGAGUGGGCUCAAAAGGGCAAAAGGAGACUUCAGCAUUGGGCAAAAAGAGGUUCUCGUCUUUCUCAAAGGCAAAAAGUAAGAAGAGAUGUUGUGGUGUACACACCGCUCUUAAGCAAGUGAAAGCAUUCCUGCUUGCAAUUUACAGCAAUCUAUUAAUUCUCAGCAAAAAUGGAAAGUGGAUCAACAUCUUCCUCCACUAUUAAAAUAACAACAGAAAUACAAUCCUAUUGACUAUUUUUUUAUUUCUCUCUUACCGUGUGAAUGUCCCAGGUCUUUUGUAAAAAUUAUCUUUUGUUUGAAAGAUCUA